AUAUACUUUUAACAUAGAAAGAUUUUCCGUAUACAUUUUUAUAAAACUUAUAAAAAAACCAGCACGCGUAGCUCUUCUGGAAAUUUUCACGAGACUUAAAAAUUUUCAUAAAAACAACAGAUAAAGAAUAUCUAUAUAUUAUGUUUACGAUAAUAAGACAAUCAUACACACGUAAUUACGCCACGAGAAAUGAGAUUUUUUUGUUAUUACAUCUACGUAAGUAAAUGUCAGAACCUUAAGUUAUUAGAUGAUAAAAGGAAAAAGUAUUAUACAUAUAUUAAACAUGUAUUUCUUAUUACACGUGAUAAAUAAUACUCCGAUGCGUGAUAGAGGUCACGAAUGAUUUGUAACAAAAUAAUAUUGACUACAGUCGCGAUUAGUUCCAAUUUGUAAGCGCACGUUAUUCAUUAACAUAUCUGUGUAAACUCGUAAGUUUAUUUUCUUAUGCGCAAAAAUAAUUUUUAAUUGAAGGAAAAAAUGACUCCUAAUUUACCAUUUAAAUACUUUCUAAGAAGAAAGACGAUAAUGUAAUGCGAUCAUUGAGGCAAUUGAGAUGCAGAGUGAAUAUCACAGAAGAAAUCGCAAUCUUAUUUGCUUAUAUGAAUACCCUCGUCAAUGUUCACGAGAGUUUAUUGAUAUGAUUGUGCGUUAUUAGAUAAUUGCCCAUUUAAAUUCUAACAUUCAACGAAGUUCUAUCGAGUUAACUGGAAAGAUAAAAGCCAGAUAUUAAAAACAAAUUUGAAGAAUGAUUUGGUGCCUUUGGCAAAGACAUUUAUGGGACACUAAGGAGAUGAAAAGUAACUUGUCCCUUUUAGUUUUGGCACAGCCUCGAAUUCAAAGCAACCAAGGCGAGCUCUAUUUUAAAACGAUUGUCACCACGAAUAUCCACGUACAGGCCUGCGGUCACUGCCGUCCAUUAACCGCAAUAGAGAGAGAAUCGUAUCUCUAGAAUAAAGGAUAAAGUAAGAUGGUAGAAACCGUUCAGCCAUUGUUCUCCGAAAGAAUUUUCGAGAAUAUAAAUAAAUAGAAUUGCCAUAAAUAAUGAAACGCUAUAUUAAUAAGGACAGCAAUGCAAAAAUAAUCAAAAGUAAUUCGGCAAUUUAUAUUUUCGAUCGAAAGAGUUAGAAUAUGUAUAAAAAUGCAUCAUUUAUAUAAUAUAGUCUAAACAUCAAGGAAAUUGAAUCAUAGACUGAAAUUCAUACUUGACACAGGAUGCACUCUCUUCAUCUAUUUCACUUGAAUUAAUCUUUAGCAGCAUGAUUCUCACUUUAUAUAUUAGCAUGAUUCUCACUUUAUAUAUAGUAUAUAUUCCUUAAUCAAAUUUGUGCACGAUAAAAUAAAGUAAUAAAAACAAUAAAAAUAAUAUAACAUAUAUA
Formica exsecta is the source of this 1376-nucleotide long non-coding RNA. RefSeq lists it as uncharacterized. NCBI's taxonomy places the organism in Eukaryota, Metazoa, Arthropoda, Insecta, Hymenoptera, Formicidae. The transcript has 2 exons. The record is from RefSeq and is a predicted model, not a curated record.